This 490-nucleotide ribosomal RNA is filed under the name uncultured bacterium. Its description in RNAcentral is "partial 16S ribosomal RNA". It matches the Rfam family "Bacterial small subunit ribosomal RNA", at positions 30 to 507 of the family's 1533-position model. The record is from RNAcentral.
AUUGAACGCUGGCGGCAUGCCUUACACAUGCAAGCCGAACGGCAGCAUGAUCUAGCUUGCUAGAUUGAUGGCGAGUGGCGAACGGGUGAGUAAUACAUCGGAACGUGCCCUGUAGUGGGGGAUAACUAGUCGAAAGAUUAGCUAAUACCGCAUACGACCUGAGGGUGAAAGUGGGGGACCGCAAGGCCUCAUGCUAUAGGAGCGGCCGAUGUCUGAUUAGCUAGUUGGUGAGGUAAAGGCUCACCAAGGCGACGAUCAGUAGCUGGUCUGAGAGGACGAUCAGCCACACUGGGACUGAGACACGGCCCAGACUCCUACGGGAGGCAGCAGUGGGGAAUUUUGGACAAUGGGCGAAAGCCUGAUCCAGCAAUGCCGCGUGUGUGAAGAAGGCCUUCGGGUUGUAAAGCACUUUUGUCCGGAAAGAAAUGGCUCUGGUUAAUACCUGGGGUCGAUGACGGUACCGGAAGAAUAAGGACCGGCUAACUACGUG